AGUCCACCUACAUGUUCCACCCAUGAACUCACAGGGAGUAGAGUGUGUAGGGGAUUUGUUAUGUGUUACUGUAGAGGAUCUAAUGUGUGUGCUUACGGAAUGUAGUGUAUAGGGAUACCAGUUUGUGUAGGUGAUGCAGUGUGUUUGUGUGUAGUGGAAGCAGUGUGUGUGUGUGUGUAUAAGGGAUGUAUUGUGUGUUUCUUGUUGUGUGUAAGGGAUGCAUUGUGUGAAUCUGUGUUUGUAUGCAUAAGGG
Molecule: non-coding RNA, 253 nt
Organism: Pelobates cultripes (western spadefoot toad)
Lineage: Eukaryota; Metazoa; Chordata; Amphibia; Anura; Pelobatidae
Source: the annotation of a GenBank genome assembly